RNAcentral lists this ribosomal RNA (578 nucleotides) under uncultured bacterium. RNAcentral's name for it is "bacterial SSU rRNA". It matches the Rfam family "Bacterial small subunit ribosomal RNA", at positions 338 to 916 of the family's 1533-position model. The record is from RNAcentral.
CCUACGGGAGGCAGCAGUAAGGAAUAUUGGUCAAUGGACGAAAGUCUGAACCAGCCAUGCCGCGUGAAGGAUUAAGGCCCUCUGGGUUGUAAACUUCUUUUAUCUGGGACGAAAAAAGGGUAUUCUUACUCACUUGACGGUACCAGAGGAAUAAGCACCGGCUAACUCCGUGCCAGCAGCCGCGGUAAUACGGAGGGUGCAAGCGUUAUCCGGAUUUACUGGGUUUAAAGGGUGCGUAGGUGGGUCUGUAAGUCAGUGGUGAAAUCUCCGAGCUUAACUCGGAAACUGCCAUUGAUACUAUAGGUCUUGAAUUAUCUGGAGGUAAGCGGAAUAUGUCAUGUAGCGGUGAAAUGCUUAGAUAUGACAUAGAACACCAAUUGCGAAGGCAGCUUACUACGGAUAUAUUGACACUGAGGCACGAAAGCGUGGGGAUCAAACAGGAUUAGAUACCCUGGUAGUCCACGCCCUAAACGAUGGAUACUCGACAUCAGCGAUACACUGUUGGUGUCUGAGCGAAAGCAUUAAGUAUCCCACCUGGGAAGUACGAUCGCAAGAUUGAAACUCAAAGGAAUUGACGG